This is a non-coding RNA of Durio zibethinus, 1546 nucleotides long. Lineage: Eukaryota; Viridiplantae; Streptophyta; Magnoliopsida; Malvales; Malvaceae. The record is from RefSeq and is a predicted model, not a curated record.
UCUCUCUCUCUCUCUCUCUCUCUCUCUCUCUCUAAUGCAGUGCCCUCCUUCUAUUCACAUGAAAAGAAAAAUUUUUUGAAAACGCCCAAAAAAUUGGAUAAUGGAGUCUGAACCAUACAAUUAGCAAUCAUGGUGUACCCCAAUGAAUCCCAUGAAAACUCUCCCCAGAAGAAAAUGGGAAGGGGAAAGAUCGAGAUCAAGCGGAUCGAAAACACUACGAACCGUCAAGUUACCUUCUGCAAGAGGCGCAAUGGUUUACUUAAAAAGGCUUAUGAGUUAUCAGUUCUUUGUGAUGCAGAAGUAGCCCUGAUUGUCUUCUCUAGCCGUGGCCGCCUCUAUGAGUAUGCUAAUAAUAGUGUUAAAAGAACAAUUGAGAGGUAUAAAAAAGCUUCUUCUGAUUCCUCCAAUACUGGGUCAGUUUCUGAAGCUAAUGCUCAGUUCUACCAGCAAGAAGCUGACAAAUUACGCAAUCAAAUUCGAAAUUUGCAGAAAACAAACAGGCAUAUGCUGGGUGAGUCCCUGGUAGGAUUGCCUAUGAAGGAGCUUAGGGGCUUGGAGACUCGUUUAGAAAAAGGAAUUAGCAGAAUCCGUUCUAAAAAGAAUGAGCUGCUGUUUGCAGAAAUUGAGUAUAUGCAGAAGAGGGAAAUUGACUUGCAUAACAAUAACCAACUUCUCCGAGCAAAGAUAGCUGAGAAUGAGAAGAGGCAGCAAAACAUGAAUUUGAUGCCAGGAGGCUCUAACUUUGAUGUCAUGCAUUCUCAACCAUUUGACUCUCGGAACUACUUCCAAGUCAAUGCGUUACAACCCGCCAACCAUUACCCCGAGCAGGACCCAAUGGCCCUUCAAUUAGUCUAAUAUUCUCGCGGAGUAAGUGGUACUUUCUGCUGUUUCUGUUUUAGAGAAGAACAUCUUAGUAUUAUGUCAGAUGAAAGGUACCAGUAUCAUGAAAAUGCUAUAAGGCAGGAAUCAACUUCCCUUAAAUGGAGGACUGUAGAACUGGUCCUCUGCCAUGUUUUAGCUAUGUAGAGUGUGUAAGACUGAUAAGUUUGUUUGUCAGACAAGAACUCCUCUUCCAUAUGUUCAGAGCAUGCACUAUGAUUCUACAAAGUUGAAUUUAAAGGUUAGGACAGCCACAAAGACAAGACUUGUGUCCGUAAGACAAGAAUUCAAGCUCUGCAUAUUCCCUAAAUAACUCAACACCAUUAGCAUGAACUGUAGCUGUUAGUUAGUUUUGUAGACAUAUCCGGGAACUAACUAAAGGCUUGUCUGAGUAACUUAGCACAAGAGCUUAGUUUAAAAGGAAUAAAAAGGGUCUUAACUUUUGAUCUGGACAAAACAAAUUAGAAUAUUCAUGUCUAGUGCAGAAUGAGCUAGUGGGUUUUUCUAACUCUUAGAACAUGACUUAAUUAUUUGAAAAUCCAUGAACCCCUUGAUUGUCUCAAUCAUUACACGUAACCUAUAACUAGUUCUCAUUAAUAACAAUGCAUACCAAUCAGAAAGUUGAUUGGAAUGAACAUUGUUUGACAGUUUCCUGAAAAUUAGUAAU